This 160-nucleotide small nucleolar RNA is filed under the name Fonsecaea pedrosoi CBS 271.37. Lineage: Eukaryota; Fungi; Ascomycota; Eurotiomycetes; Chaetothyriales; Herpotrichiellaceae. The record is from RNAcentral.
UGUCGGGUUGAUAACUAGGCGGCGGUUUCAAAUUAUUGCACCCCACGACCUUUGCCCUUUAAGUGCCCGAAAGAUUGACUCUUCUCUUGCGACUGAGUCUUACACAUUUGCUUGCUCGUUUUGUCCAUGUUUGUUUAAUGUUUAUUCGGUCGCAACAUCA